GUAGGAUUUGCAUGAUUUUUUUAUGUGAUAGUCGGUUAAAAAGUUCAUCAGAGCUCAUGUUUUGUCUGUUAUUAUGUAUAUAUAUGCCGACUCGAAAUAAAAUCAACUUACUUAAUUACUUAACUAGAACAUUUUCAAUAUUAAUGCGAUUGACAUGUAUUAUUAUUGUCGCCUUUAAUUUUUUCGUAUAUCUUGUUUAUCCGUUUUAUCCGGUACGCUUCCGUUAGGUGUCCGUUUUAUGCGGUACUCGUCCGUUGGAUGUACGUUCGACAUCCGUUCUGUCCGUUACGUCUCCGUUUCUCGUCCGUUGCAUAUCCGUUGCAUGUCCGUUAUGCAUUCGUUAGGCGUCCGUUUUAGUUGGUCAGUACAUCAACGGACGCCCAACGGAUAACAAUUUUGUCAACGGACAACUUUUAUUUUCAUCCGUUAGGCGUCCGUUCGUCUUAUCCGGUAAGGUGUGACCGAGGCUUUAACCAUUAGUGGAUCCUCUAAUAAACAAAAAGAUCAGGAUGAAAAUAUCUUCAGAUAGCAGUCUUAAGCAAAGAAUACGCCCUAUACCACUUACACUGCACAAUACACAGUUUAACAAAAAUAGCAAUGUACAUUGUAGUAGGGAAAACAAAAUGGAUGAAUUAUGCUAAUACCUUAACUGUCCUUAAACGAAAAAAAAUAAUGACAGACUGCUACAAACGACAACUAAACCAGGACAAGAGAACGGGCAAAUAUGUAUACGAUAGCAAAACAUAUCUCAAAUAUUGGACAGCACUGCUAUAGCACAACAAUAGAACACACUGAUAAAUCUAUUUGAAAGAGCCUUUUAUAUUCGUCAAAUCAACACUUAAUUUACAAUCAGACACCGAACACAAUUGCAAAAUACA
This 878-nucleotide long non-coding RNA is filed under the name Mytilus galloprovincialis (Mediterranean mussel). The record is from RNAcentral. Lineage: Eukaryota; Metazoa; Mollusca; Bivalvia; Mytilida; Mytilidae.